This 116-nucleotide ribosomal RNA is filed under the name Nannospalax galili (Upper Galilee mountains blind mole rat). The record is from RNAcentral. Lineage: Eukaryota; Metazoa; Chordata; Mammalia; Rodentia; Spalacidae.
GUCUAUGGCCAUACCACCCUGAAUGUGCCCAAUCUCAUCUGAUCUUGGAAGCUAAGCAGGGUCGCCUGGUUAGUACUUGGAUGGGAGACAUAAUGCAGGCAAAACAGUCAUCCACA